CUACGUAGGGGGCGAGCGUUGUCCGGAAUGAUUGGGCGUAAAGGGCGCGUAGGCGGCCCGGUAAGUCUGGAGUGAAAGUCCUGUUUUUAAGAUGGGAAUUGCUUUGGAUACUGUCGGGCUUGAGUGCAGGAGAGGUAAGUGGAAUUCCCAGUGUAGCGGUGAAAUGCGUAGAGAUUGGGAGGAACACCAGUGGCGAAGGCGACUUACUGGGCCGUAACUGACGCUGAGGCGCGAAAGCGUGGGGAGCGAACAGGAUUAGAUACCCUGGUAGUCCACGCUGUAAACGAUGAAUGCUAGGUGUAGGGGGUAUCGACCCCUCCUGUGCCGGAGUAAACGCAAUAAGCAUUCCGCCUGGGGAGUACGGCCGCAAGGUUGAAACUCAAAUGAAUUGACGGGG
RNAcentral lists this ribosomal RNA (397 nucleotides) under uncultured bacterium. RNAcentral's name for it is "partial 16S ribosomal RNA". It matches the Rfam family "Bacterial small subunit ribosomal RNA", at positions 523 to 918 of the family's 1533-position model. The record is from RNAcentral.